Molecule: long non-coding RNA, 1700 nt
Organism: Scaptodrosophila lebanonensis
Lineage: Eukaryota; Metazoa; Arthropoda; Insecta; Diptera; Drosophilidae
Exons: 2
Source: RefSeq, a predicted model, not a curated record
CCUAUCCUAACUACUGUAUCAUCGGAGGUACGCGUUUCACCGUCUACCGAGAGUGCGACUCCUCCGGCUGCGUCGGACUCCUCUCCGAGUUUCCCGGACGGCAUUUCGGGCAUCUUGGCAGCACCACGCCUGGCUGUCCGCAUUUGAAACAAAACAUAUUGCGCACCGCCGACUCGCAAUCGAAAUAUGUAUGCCCUGGUUGUGCACAAUUCCAACACUUGAGAUUCGAGCGGCUCCCACCAGUUUCAUGUGGCCUAUAUACCGCCUCCAAAUGCUCCAGUUGGCCGCCUUCUGUACCUUCUGCUACCACGUCCAGCUCGUGUACUCGAUGCUGCUCUCUCUGCUGCCCGUAGUUGGUACUGGCUGAGGGCCGCGCCCAACGCGUUGCCAGCAUCUUUUCGGCGUCUUGGCACUCCUCUCUCAGCUUCUGCAGAUUAGUUAUAUUCAUCGGAUAGAUGACCCUAGACACGGUGUCUUUAAUAUUUGUCUUUAUCACCUUAAUAAGGUCAUAAUCCGAAAAUGGACACACCAACCGAGAACGCAACACCAGCAUCGCCUGAAUAUACUCUUCUAUGCUCUCGCCAUGCCGCUGCUUCCGCUCCCUCAGCUCCUGCUCUCGUUCAAACUCCGAUCUUCGAGUCUGAAAUUGCUGCUGCAGCCCAUAUCGGAGAUUCGGCCAGUCCGGCACGCCCGAGGUACGUAUGUACAUCCAAUACCAAUCUUUCGCUCUUCCGUUCACCAGGCAGUGGAAGUCUCGCAACACGUCGGCCCAGGGCACCUGAUACAAGGACUGCAAAUGCUCCAAUCGAAAUAUAAACUCUGCCACCGGCAUUCCUUUGGUUUCGCCAUCAAAUACAAGGCCCCACUUUCUGAUGUGGACGACGUCGGGCCGGGAGUCUCCCAUCGUGGUUCGCCUUAAUGGCCUGUGCACGUCAGGGCCCAAAUCGCGCAUCCACGGAUCGGCUGAGAACUGCCGCUGCUCCACAUGUGCCCGCUGUUCUGCCUCUAAAGUUCGGUUGUCGACGAACAGGCUGGCCGCUGCAUUUGCGCGUGAGCUCGCUCUGGCCUGCCCACCGGCGCCUGUGCUACAGACGGAGGCGCGCUAUGCGUUUUCUCCUGCCUCAGCGCUGCCACUGCCUCAUUAAUCUCGCGCAUGAACGACAGCAUGCUGGCCUGCAUCGUCUCUCGAAUGGCCUCUACUUCUGAUGACAACGAUGCGCGAUACGUCUCGUGGGCCUGUGCUAAUGCCACGUUGAUCGCUGACCGAAUUUCGCUUGGCAGCGCAGACUCGGCUCUGCCACCCUGCUCUUCACCGCCAUAGUCAUGCGCGCGUGCGCCGGCUGUUGCUCCGGAACUGUUCGGAAAUUCAUCCCCGAAUCCUCGGAACGCUGCCUCGUUUACACUCGGCGGCGAUGCGUCAUCAUGGAGUGCUUCUGCUGGCUUGCCCGCCUCACUCAAUCCUACGUGAGGAGGAGAGUCCAAGUGAACCAAUGGCCUAUUUCUACUAAACUCCUGACUCCGCCUGACCUUCCGGGUAACAUUCGGGUCAAGAUUCAUUUCUCAGUACCUUGUUAAUCCAAACCAAAAAAAACCACUGCUAGUACUCGGAUCCGUACCCGCCGAUUAUAAUAUCAAAAAAAACUAGAUCUAUAUUCUAAACGAGCAAACUCCAAAUAAAUAAAUAGAUCGGUCCCCUCGUA